Molecule: ribosomal RNA, 611 nt
Filed under: uncultured bacterium
Lineage: Bacteria
Description: bacterial SSU rRNA
Rfam family: Bacterial small subunit ribosomal RNA
Source: RNAcentral
ACGGCAGCACGGAGCUUGCUCUGGUGGCGAGUGGCGAACGGGUGAGUAAUAUAUCGGAACGUACCCUGGAGUGGGGGAUAACGUAGCGAAAGUUACGCUAAUACCGCAUACGAUCUAAGGAUGAAAGUGGGGGAUUCGCAAGAACCUCAUGCUCGUGGAGCGGCCGAUAUCUGAUUAGCUAGUUGGUAGGGUAAAAGCCUACCAAGGCAUCGAUCAGUAGCUGGUCUGAGAGGACGACCAGCCACACUGGAACUGAGACACGGUCCAGACUCCUACGGGAGGCAGCAGUGGGGAAUUUUGGACAAUGGGCGCGAGCCUGAUCCAGCAAUGCCGCGUGAGUGAAGAAGGCCUUCGGGUUGUAAAGCUCUUUUGUCAGGGAAGAAACGGUGGGAGCUAAUAUCUCCUGCUAAUGACGGUACCUGAAGAAUAAGCACCGGCUAACUACGUGCCAGCAGCCGCGGUAAUACGUAGGGUGCAAGCGUUAAUCGGAAUUACUGGGCGUAAAGCGUGCGCAGGCGGUUUUGUAAGUCUGAUGUGAAAUCCCCGGGCUCAACCUGGGAAUUGCAUUGGAGACUGCAAGGCUAGAAUCUGGCAGAGGGGGGGUAGAAUUC